This 253-nucleotide ribosomal RNA is filed under the name uncultured bacterium. Its description in RNAcentral is "partial 16S ribosomal RNA". It matches the Rfam family "Bacterial small subunit ribosomal RNA", at positions 524 to 776 of the family's 1533-position model. The record is from RNAcentral.
GACGUAGGGGGCAAGCGUUGUUCGGAAUUAUUGGGCGUAAAGCGCUCGUAGGCGGGACAGGAAGUUCGUGUUGAAAGACCUCGGCUCAACUGAGGGACCGGCUCGAAUACUCUUGUUCUUGAGGCAAUCAGAGGGUGAUGGAAUUCCCGGUGUAGCGGUGAAAUGCGUAGAUAUCGGGAGGAACGCCAGUGGCGAAGGCGAUCACCUGGGGUUGUUCUGACGCUGAGGAGCGAAAGCUAGGGGAGCAAACGGG